CCUACGGGUGGCAGCAGUGAGGAAUAUUGGUCAAUGGCCGGAAGUCUGAACCAGCCAAGCCGCGUGAGGGAGGAAGGCGCAGAGCGUCGCAAACCUCUUUUACCGGGGAACAAAACGCCGGACGUGUCCGGUUCUGAAUGUACCCGUCGAAUAAGCAUCGGCUAACUCCGUGCCAGCAGCCGCGGUAAUACGGGGGAUGCGAGCGUUAUCCGGGUUUAUUGGGUUUAAAGGGUGCGUAGGCUGUGAGGUAAGUCCGGGUUGAAAAGCCUCCGCUCAACGGGGUGAAGUGCCAUUGAUACUGCCGGGCUGGAAUGCGGAUGAGGUGGGCGGAAUUUGUGGUGUAGCGGUGAAAUGCAUAGAUAUCACACAGAACACCGAUUGCGAAGGCAUCUCACGAAGCCGCGACUGACGCUGAGGCACGAAAGUGUGGGUAUCAAACAGGAUUAGAUACCCGAGUAGUC
Molecule: ribosomal RNA, 461 nt
Filed under: uncultured bacterium
Lineage: Bacteria
Description: partial 16S ribosomal RNA
Rfam family: Bacterial small subunit ribosomal RNA
Source: RNAcentral